RNAcentral lists this microRNA precursor (52 nucleotides) under Canis lupus familiaris (dog). RNAcentral's name for it is "mir-1302 microRNA precursor family". It matches the Rfam family "mir-1302 microRNA precursor family". RNAcentral also lists the same sequence under 1 other name. Lineage: Eukaryota; Metazoa; Chordata; Mammalia; Carnivora; Canidae. The record is from Rfam by way of RNAcentral.
UUUUUAGUACAAGCAUGCCCCAUGCAGAAUUUAGGGCAUGCUUGUACUAAAA